RNAcentral lists this ribosomal RNA (267 nucleotides) under uncultured bacterium. RNAcentral's name for it is "partial 16S ribosomal RNA". It matches the Rfam family "Bacterial small subunit ribosomal RNA", at positions 793 to 1055 of the family's 1533-position model. The record is from RNAcentral.
GUCCUAGCCGUAAACGGUGCAUAUUUGCUGUAAAAGGAAUCGACCCCUUUUGUGGCGAAGCAAACGCGUUAAAUAUGCCGCCUGGGAAGUACGGUCGCAAGAUUAAAACUCAAAGAAAUUGACGGGGGCCUGCACAAGCGGUGGAGUAUGUGGCUUAAUUCGAUGCAACGCGAAGAACCUUACCUGGCCUUGACAUGCACAUAGUAGAAGCCUGAAAGGGUGACGAGGUAGCAAUACCAGUGUGCACAGGUGCUGCAUGGCUGUCGU